This 497-nucleotide ribosomal RNA is filed under the name uncultured bacterium. RNAcentral describes it as "partial 16S ribosomal RNA". It matches the Rfam family "Bacterial small subunit ribosomal RNA", at positions 28 to 507 of the family's 1533-position model. The record is from RNAcentral.
GAUGAACGCUGGCGGCGUGCCUAAUACAUGCAAGUCGAGCGAACGGACGAGAAGCUUGCUUCUCUGACGUUAGCGGCGGACGGGUGAGUAACACGUGGAUAACCUACCUAUAAGACUGGGAUAACUUCGGGAAACCGGAGCUAAUACCGGAUAAUAUUUUGAACCGCAUGGUUCAAUAGUGAAAGACGGUCUUGCUAUCACUUAUAGAUGGAUCCGCGCUGUAUUAGCUAGUUGGUAAGGUAACGGCUUACCAAGGCAACGAUGCGUAGCCGACCUGAGAGGGUGAUCGGCCACACUGGAACUGAGACACGGUCCAGACUCCUACGGGAGGCAGCAGUAGGGAAUCUUCCGCAAUGGGCGAAAGCCUGACGGAGCAACGCCGCGUGAGUGAUGAAGGUCUUCGGAUCGUAAAACUCUGUUAUUAGGGAAGAACAUAUGUGUAAGUAACUGUGCACAUCUUGACGGUACCUAAUCAGAAAGCCACGGCUAACUACGUG